Molecule: ribosomal RNA, 169 nt
Filed under: uncultured bacterium
Lineage: Bacteria
Description: partial 16S ribosomal RNA
Rfam family: Bacterial small subunit ribosomal RNA
Source: RNAcentral
CCUACGGGAGGCAGCAGUGGGGAAUCUUGGACAAUGGGGGCAACCCUGAUCCAGCCAUGCCGCGUGAGUGAUGAAGGCCUUAGGGUCGUAAAGCUCUUUCGCCUGUGAAGAUAAUGACGGUAGCAGGUAAAGAAACCCCGGCUAACUCCGUGCCAGCAGCCGCGGUAAU